CCAUUCUGGCCCAUAGAGGGUGAAAGGCCCGUGGGGGUAGAGACCAAGUGUGACAGUUCUGCUCAGAGCUCCCCUUAGAGUCGGGUUGUUUGUGAAUGCAGCCCAAAGUGGGUGGUAGACUCCAUCCAAGGCUAAAUACUUACACGAGUCCGAUAGCAAACAAGUACCGUGAGGGAAAGUUGAAAAGUACUUUGAAGAGAGAGUAAACAGUGCGUGAAACCGCUCAAAGGUAAACGGGUGGAGUUGAACUGCAAGCCCUGGGAAUUCAGCUGAUGAGUGUGAUUUGUGCUUGGGCAUACUGGCCGCCUUCAGUGUCCGUUUAACCGCGGGUGCCUGCCUUAUCGGUGGGUGUGUGUGAAUCGUUUGCAAGCGACGCACGCACUGUUGGUGUGAGGGUCUGCUUGUCAGUGCACUUUCUCAGGGUGUUCACCACGACCGGCGCUGCUGCCUGUCUGCUAUGAUCAAACUGGUCGAGUCUGGCAUUGUUGGGCUUGGCUGGGUCGGCAGGUGACUCUUUGGCUCAUUCGUGGGCCGUGAGUGUUACUAGCUGGUUGUAGUGGAUCUGUGCGGUGUGUCGGAGAUGGCGGCUUCGCAUGCGUGCUUAGACCUGCGGACAUUGUUGAGUCUGGUCGGUUUGUUACUGGCUUCGGCUGGUCGGCUGAUGGCUUGAUUUUGUUGCGUU
This 682-nucleotide ribosomal RNA is filed under the name Schistosoma turkestanicum. Its description in RNAcentral is "eukaryotic LSU rRNA". It matches the Rfam family "Eukaryotic large subunit ribosomal RNA", at positions 193 to 618 of the family's 3401-position model. Lineage: Eukaryota; Metazoa; Platyhelminthes; Trematoda; Strigeidida; Schistosomatidae. The record is from RNAcentral.